UCCUCCCAGCCGCCCUCUCGCUCUCCCUCUCUCCUCCUCCCCGCCGCCGCCCUCUCUCUCCUGUGUCUCGUGAUGCGGCCACCGCUGAUUUCUCUCUCCUUCUCGGUUCUUGCUUGCAGGGGUUCCAGGGAGGGCGGGCAGCUGGGCAUGGGCGGGAAUGAGGAGAAGGCCCAUACGGCCCACAUCCCAGCCGCGAUCCAAAUUCUCGGUGGCUACCCUGUGCUCUCGGCGAGCUCGGACGGCCGCGGCAGCAGCGACCCGUCGGCGCCGGCGACCUACUGCCUCCGCCCCGCGGCCUCAUCUCCCUCAACUACCGCCCCUCUGCCUGAGCCCAAUCUCGCAUCGCCCCCGACCAGCUCGCUAGCCAUGGACGCCGGCGGCGGCGGCAGCGGCAGCGGCCAGCUCUUCUCCGUUGACCCCUUGGAGCGCCAGGCCGCGCGGGGCCACGGCGUCGUCACCUCCAUGGCCGCCGGCAGCGACGUCAUCGUCCUCGGCACCUCCCGCGGCUGGCUCGUCCGCCACGACUACACCUUCGAGGACGCCCACAGCAAGUCUUCCCACCCCACUUCCCCUUGGCUCCUUCCCCUUUCUCAAGGCGUCGUGUCACCUCCCUCGCUGCUUUCCUCUCCUCCUCGUGUAGAUCUCGACGGUGUAAAGAUCUACAGUUGAUGAAUGAGAAUAUGGAGGUUCUUCAAAGCCUGAAACUGGUGUCUACGGAAAAUGAGAAUAGCAACAAGGGCGAUUCAGUCCUGUUCAUAGUAUGUGAAUAAAUUGAAGCUUCAAAGUGCAGCCUUUUCUUAAGCAAGAAAUGGAGCUUUCCUUGGUAGGGCUCCAAAGUGCUGAGAAAACAUCACUUGUGAAUGCCAUUGAUGUAAGUAUCACGCAUUCUUUUGGUACCACUGAUAUACUGGAUACAUUUUCCCAUGGAUAAACAUGUAUUUUAGCGAGGAUAAGAUCCCUAAGGAUUCAAUAUGAGAAAGGUAACAAAAGGAAAUAUCACAAUAAAAUUGUGGGAUCCUGGAGGCCAGCCACAAUUUUGGCUGAGGCCUCAUUUUGGCGCAGAAAAUUUCUCAAUUGAUGUGUAAAUUGAACUGUUUCAUGUGAACUUUGAACUGAUGGUUUAUUCUUAAACUAAAUUAACUGACAGUCAUAUCCUCUCUGAAUUUUCUUUCAACUGUGGCUAUCACUCGAAGUUGACAAGGAUGCUUGAGACUGCACACUACUGUGAGCUUGUGGUGGAGAGCAGUGAAAUAGAUGAUCUGCCAUUGUUGCCUCCAAGCUUGCUAUCCCACAGCUUCACAGAAAGGUGUUUGCUGCUGCUGAGUGGGGCUUCAAGUUAUUGCAGAGGUCAUUGCUGGAGCAUGUUGCAGCAGGGGAUCACGCUAACCUUUUUACAAUUCAAGAUUCCAAUUAUGAUCCUCAUCUUUUCUGAAUAAUUGUUAUUGUAACCUGCAGAAGUUGCUUUCUCUGGAUGACGAUCAGGAAGAUUCAGAUGAUCUUUGUUUGCUGAUCUACUCAACUGAGAAUGAUCAGAAGUAGCAACCAGAUCAGAGAAGACUUGAGUUGCUAUGUUUUCCAGGAGCAGCCACUGCUACAAGGUCACUGAAAGGAUCACCAAACGGAUUUGGAGCUCCGGAGGGAGGCGCAGCGUACUGAUAUUGGUGGUGGUACAUGGUCGGUGUUGGCAUCGCCAUGAUCUGUUGCUGCUGCUGAAAAUGCUGAUGCUGCUGUGGCUGGAAAUACUGCUGUUGUGCCUGGUAGUAAUGUUGCUGCUGCUGGGUCAUCAGUGCCAACUGCACAUUAGAUGGUGGUGCGAAGCUACUGGACAUGGCAAACGGGUCACUGGCAUUGGCUUCGAAAGGGUUAGCUGCGCCAAGGCUACCAGUGUAGGUCACGCUGGCGAUCUGCUUCCUCCUCGCUUCGUCCUCGUAGAGGCUGUCGAGUAACAGCUUGUCAAAGCCUCCAGCCUGUUCAUCAGAUGCGGCUUUAUAUGUGGAUAUCUGAAAAGCAGGUUAUGGAGUAAGGAUUGCACAUACCAAGUUAGUCUUAACUGGUUGGCUUGUAUGGGUGCUUGGAGCAGUGACCAGUGCCAACUCCCACCCAGAUGAAUUGACGUCGAACAGAUUUUGAGAUGCUGACCCCUUGUUUUGGUCAUCUACAUGCAAGACCAGAGCAACUGAUGACAUUUCCUUCUCAUUGCAUCACUUAAUAUCAUCUGGACAGUUUGGUAUUCAACGUUUCAACAAUAGCACUUGUAAAAUUGUGAUAUAUAUACCUGGAGCUACAAUUGCAAGUGCCAAUGCAUUGCUUUCUUCCA
Molecule: long non-coding RNA, 2317 nt
Organism: Setaria italica (foxtail millet)
Lineage: Eukaryota; Viridiplantae; Streptophyta; Magnoliopsida; Poales; Poaceae
Exons: 6
Source: RefSeq, a predicted model, not a curated record